CCUACGGGAGGCAGCAGUGAGGAAUAUUGGUCAAUGGGCGCGAGCCUGAACCAGCAACGUAGCGUGAAGGAUGACUGCCCUACGGGUUGUAACCUUCUUUUAUAAAGGAAUAAAGUGAGGCACGUGUGCCUUUUUGUGUGUACUUUAUGAAUAAGCAUCGGCUAACUCCGUGCCAUCAGCCGCGGUAAUACUGAGGAUCCGAGCGUUAUCCGGAUUUAUUGGGUUUAAAGGGAGCGUAGAUGGGUUGUUAAGUCAGUUGUGAAAGGUUGCGGCUCAACCGUAAAAUUGCAAUUGAUACUGGCAGCCUUGAGUACAGUGGAGGUAGGCGGAAUUCGUGGUGUAGCGGUGAAAUGCGUAGAUAUCACGAAGAACUCCGAUUGCGAAGGCAGCUUACUAAACUGCCACUGACAUUGAGGCUCGAAAGUGUGGGUAUCAAACAGGAUUAGAUACCCCAGUAGUC
RNAcentral lists this ribosomal RNA (460 nucleotides) under uncultured bacterium. RNAcentral describes it as "partial 16S ribosomal RNA". It matches the Rfam family "Bacterial small subunit ribosomal RNA", at positions 338 to 795 of the family's 1533-position model. The record is from RNAcentral.